Molecule: ribosomal RNA, 207 nt
Filed under: uncultured bacterium
Lineage: Bacteria
Description: partial 16S ribosomal RNA
Rfam family: Bacterial small subunit ribosomal RNA
Source: RNAcentral
UGCGUAGGUGGUUUCUUAAGUCAGAGGUGAAAGGCUACGGCUCAACCGUAGUAAGCCUUUGAAACUGGGAAACUUGAGUGCAGGAGAGGAGAGUGGAAUUCCUAGUGUAGCGGUGAAAUGCGUAGAUAUUAGGAGGAACACCAGUUGCGAAGGCGGCUCUCUGGACUGUAACUGACACUGAAGCACGAAAGCGUGGGGAAGCAAACA